Molecule: small RNA, 106 nt
Filed under: Marmota monax (woodchuck)
Lineage: Eukaryota; Metazoa; Chordata; Mammalia; Rodentia; Sciuridae
Source: RNAcentral
GCUGGGCAUGGUGGUGCAUGCCUGUAAUCCCAGUUACUUGAAGGUUGAGGCAGGAGGAUCACAAGUUUGAGGCCAACCUGGGUGCCUUAGCAAGACCCUGUCUCAA